RNAcentral lists this transfer RNA (76 nucleotides) under Eupatorium chinense. Its description in RNAcentral is "tRNA-Thr". It matches the Rfam family "tRNA". From Rfam's summary of the family: Transfer RNA (tRNA) molecules are approximately 80 nucleotides in length. Their secondary structure includes four short double-helical elements and three loops (D, anti-codon, and T loops). RNAcentral also lists the same sequence under 4 other names. The record is from RNAcentral. Lineage: Eukaryota; Viridiplantae; Streptophyta; Magnoliopsida; Asterales; Asteraceae.
GUCACGAUCAGAAGGUAGUGAGGCUGCGUAUAUUUGUACUUUAGCAGAGGUGCUGGUUCGAAUCCAGCUCGUGACA